UAGUUUCUUGCGGUAAACAAGAAAAAAAGCGUUUGUUUUUGGAAAGAAGUUUCUGGGGCUAAUAGACAAUUUCGUUCCGUAUGAUUAAAUAUACGCCAACCAAGUCUAGCAGAAUUUUAUUCUGUGAUAAAAACUACUGACCAUGAAAACUUAAGUUCUGCAUAUCAUCUGCUUCUUGAAAGAACUUAGGAGUAGCGAAGACCUCUGGUCCCAAAGAGACAAGCAGCCAUGGAGCAUUGCAAGACCCUGUGAGUUGCAAAGAUGGGCAUACUGCAAUCUGCAGUGAGUGUAUUGAACUGUGGCUGAAGAGGUGCAAGAAUUGUCCAUUGGAUAACACUCUGAUUACUGACAGCUUGGUUCGUAACUUGACUGUUUAUAACAUCGUGAAUAAUCUUUACGUUUACUGUUUUGCUCAAGAUGAGGAGGAUAAGGAGAAUGGUGAAUCAAAAGCAAUGAAAAAAACUUGUGAGGGAAUCACAAAAGAUGUAAGUGACUUGAACCACAAGCUUGAAGAGCUUAAAAAACACUAAGGGGUUUGUGCUUUCUACCAAGUACCAUGUCCUCAUGCAAACUGUAUAGACAUGGUGCAGAGAAGACAUAUUAAUGACCAUACCCAAGCAUGUAUACAUAGAAUAGUGGCGUGCAAGGAUUGCCAAGCACAAGUAAUUCAACAUGAUCUUCAACACCACCAGGAUAGUGACUGUCCUGAUGCAAUGAUCCCAUGCCCCAAUAACUGUUAUACAAAUCAUGAAACAAGCAAGAUACAAAGGAUAAGAUGUCUUCACUUACAGUACACAUUACAAAUUAAAUUGAGUCUUGCCUUGCCCAGAGAAGUGACAGGUUGAUAAAGGAAGUAGUUGCAAUAAAGGAGGAUUUGAAGACAUUGAAGUCUACUUUAAGAGAUGUAAAGAAACGUUUUAAAGAUCAACUUGGCAGUGCCAAUAGUUACACAUGGACAACUCCUGACUACCCCACUUUAUGCAAGAAAUAUGCCUGUGCCUCAAGCUUCCAAAGUCCUUUUUUCUGGUUAUGUAGUUACAGACUUAGAUUAUCAGUAUCCCCUAAUGGAGAUAGAGAAACAAGUCUUUCAUUCCUCUCUUUAUACCUAAAAUUAUAUGAAGACCAUUUGCUGACAUCUGGUGAUGUUCAUGUGGUGCCCAGCAGUGAAGCCACUAUAGGUUUCAGGUAGUGCCACACACCCACCAGUAUCCAAACCUGCYUUUCAACGUGGGGCAUGGGUUAUAUUGUUGAUAAAUUAGUAUCAAAAGCUAAAAAAUAAACACCAGCUUCUCAGCAGACAA
Long non-coding RNA from Actinia tenebrosa (Australian red waratah sea anemone), 1301 nucleotides. Lineage: Eukaryota; Metazoa; Cnidaria; Anthozoa; Actiniaria; Actiniidae. The record is from RefSeq and is a predicted model, not a curated record.